Long non-coding RNA from Panicum virgatum (switchgrass), 1100 nucleotides. RefSeq lists it as uncharacterized. The record is from RefSeq and is a predicted model, not a curated record. The transcript is spliced from 3 exons. NCBI's taxonomy places the organism in Eukaryota, Viridiplantae, Streptophyta, Magnoliopsida, Poales, Poaceae.
CAAAACCAGAGAGAGUGGUAAAUGAUGACCGAGAGUGCGCUAGAACAUCAAGAGAGAAAAAGAAAAACCACCCAGCUUACCAAACCUAAUAAAGAUGACUAAAACAUCUGAUCCUGCAAAAAGAACCAUCAUGGCCAUGGUUGCCUUAAGAGCUUACUAAAUGACCAAGGUACAACAACGACGAGCAAAGCGAAGCCAUCCAACGUAUGCGUGGCAACAUAAACAAAUCAGUUCAUCACUUUAUUGCAACGAGUUCUGUGCGGUAAUCUGCAGUGGCAAAGGAGAUGACAGCCACGGCGCCACGGCAUCUAUGGGAUCCUUCUCAUCUCCAUGUCGUUUUUUGUCGGCAACCUGAAGCUAUUCCCCAGAUCUAUGGUCACGUCCUUCCUCCCUUCUCCGAUUGCUAUAGUUCUUAUCAGCAGAAUAAUUUUGCCCAUGGCCUCAGAUGCAGAAUUUUUUUAGCACGCCCACCACAUGUUUGAUAGAAUGCUUAUAAGAGAUGUUGUACCAAUUUCUUUUUACAGUUGAAUAAAGCAUUGACCUUUAGAUAUUUAGAUAUUGAGCUGUUCAUUUUCCACUCCACUAUCAAUUCUGUAUUAAGAACCAGUUCAGUUUUGAUAUCUGGUUUCAGGUGUUCUUAACAGACAAGAUAAAUCUUCAAUAAAGAUGCAUCGUGUGCUGUGAAAUCUAGGGAAAUGAUCAGGUAAUAUGCAAAGGAAAUUUAAAGAUGAUUUCAUCAACACAGCACACGUGGUUCAAAGGACAAGCUAAAUCUUUAAGAAGAUGCAUCGUGUGCUGUAAAAUCUAGGGAAAUGAUCAGGUAAUUAAUAAGCAAAGCAAGUUUAAAGAUGAUUUCAUCAACACAGCAUACGGGGUUCGAAGGAUAGUGCUGCAGCAUGCAGAUGGGUCCUAAGAGAAGCGUGUCAGAUCCUAUAAAAUUAAAUUCUAUGUAUGGAUGGUGACAAAAGAAGAUCGGCCAUGUUUUUUGUUGUAUUUAGGAAAGUGUCAUUAUGAUUCCAACUCAGUUGGCCGAAUUGUAUUAAGAAUUGCUAUGUAAAAUAUAUUAAUAAAUUUUAAAUAAAAUUACUUCAGAGCUCUCA